Molecule: transfer RNA, 76 nt
Filed under: Neogale frenata (long-tailed weasel)
Lineage: Eukaryota; Metazoa; Chordata; Mammalia; Carnivora; Mustelidae
Description: tRNA-Ser
Rfam family: tRNA
About the family: Transfer RNA (tRNA) molecules are approximately 80 nucleotides in length. Their secondary structure includes four short double-helical elements and three loops (D, anti-codon, and T loops). Further hydrogen bonds mediate the characteristic L-shaped molecular structure. tRNAs have two regions of fundamental functional importance: the anti-codon, which is responsible for specific mRNA codon recognition, and the 3' end, to which the tRNAs corresponding amino acid is attached (by aminoacyl-tRNA synthetases). tRNAs cope with the degeneracy of the genetic code in two manners: having more than one tRNA (with a specific anti-codon) for a particular amino acid; and 'wobble' base-pairing, i.e. permitting non-standard base-pairing at the 3rd anti-codon position.
Source: RNAcentral
UCGAGAAAGACAUAAUGGUUAUGGCAUUGGCUUGAAACCAGUUCUAGGGGGUUCGAUUCCUUCCUUUCUUAAUUAC